Molecule: long non-coding RNA, 1501 nt
Filed under: Mytilus galloprovincialis (Mediterranean mussel)
Lineage: Eukaryota; Metazoa; Mollusca; Bivalvia; Mytilida; Mytilidae
Source: RNAcentral
GUUGUUGUCCAUUCGUUUGAUGUGUUUUGUCAUUUCAUUUUGCCAUGAGAUAAGGGACUUUCCGAUUGAAUUUUCUUCGGAGUUCAGUAUUUUUGGGAUUUUACUUUUUGUUGGUACACUUAUUAGUUAUUGGAACUGGAAAUUGACUUUUGGAUUCCAAUUUUUAUAGAUAAUGGCUUUACUCUAUGAAAGCUUUUCUUUAAAGGGGCACUUGCUACAAGAUAUAAAAAAAUCUAAAGUAUGAUUGUUUUGGUUCAAUAAUCAAUGAAAGUGAAAUAGUGAAAUACAAAUUCGCUUCUAGCAGCCAGUUUGUUUAAAUUUUGUCGAACUAAUAUAAGAAACAUUGCUGAUGAAUUAUUCACUUGCAAGUGAAUAAUUUGACCUAUGAAUCCGUAUACAUAUGAACGUCAAUUAAACCCCUGAACUAGAGAUGAACAACGGAUGAAUUGUGCGUGCUAUGUUAGUUAAAGGAAAAGAAUGUCAACAUUGAAAGUCGAAUAAAGGUAAAUCAUUUGAUUUACUGAUACGAACCACAAAAAAAUCUUUGUUAUUUAGGUAAAAACGAUGAUUAACAUAUAUUUUCUAUCUAUAACAUGAAAUUAUACAGACAUAAUUAAGCGAGUUUGCUUUCUUUUUUAUAUCUCUAAUAAUGUUUAUAUAACUAUCGAACGUCUUCGGAGGUCAACUCGAUAGUGAAAUGGCGUCAAGACUAAAAUACACACGUAACAAGGCUACAUAUUAUCGAGCCCAUGCCCUUUAUGUUUAGUUCAGACUUUUUUAUAAUUUGAAUAAAUGUUUAACAUGGUUAUAAAUCAAAUAUGAGAAUUUGAGUCAAAUAUAUGAACAUGAAUUUGACAGCUAGUGCCCAUCUAAUAGUAUUUAAAGAAAUGGUUUUAUAUUUGGUAGAUUAAUUUUACUCAAAUAAUUCUUUGCUAAAUUAUCAGUUCUUAUUCAUUUGUGUUAUAUACAAAAGACUAAAAAAUACAACACGCCUUGAAAAUUUAAAACGGAACGUCCCUUAUCAAAUGGCAAAAUCGAAAGCUCAAACACAUCAAACGAAUGAAAAACAACUGUCAUAUUCCCGACUUGGUACACGCAUUUCCUUAUGUAGAAAAUAGUGAAUUAAACCUGGUUAUAUAGCUAGCUUAACUUUUAACUUAUGCAACAGUCGUAUACAAUUCCUUUAUAUAUGUGUGUAUAAAAAAUGUAAACAAUAGUACAGCGGUCAAUAUUGUGUUAUAAUCUUAAUUACUAUAAAAAUAAACCAAAUAUGUCAACAAAGAAAAACAAAAUGGCAAAUAGACAAAACCCAAAAGCAGACAUGAAAGAAAAAAAACAAAAAUGACUAUUGCACAGUUACACAUGUUUUGGUCUUUCACCAAUUUACCCCAAUGAGUCAGAGAUGGCAAAUUAGAGUUGAACCUUCAGUGGGUCUCGAACUGCUUUCAAUCUAAUUCUUCAAUUUCGUUCAUUGAAUAAAAACAUUAUAUAGGUCACUGGA